AUUGAACGCUGGCGGAAUGCUUUACACAUGCAAGUCGAGCGGCAGCACGGGGGCAACCCUGGUGGCGAGCGGCGAACGGGUGAGUAAUACAUCGGAACAUGCCCAGUCGUGGGGGAUAACACUUCGAAAGAAGUGCUAAUACCGCAUACGUCCUGAGGGAGAAAGCGGGGGAUCGCAAGACCUCGCGCGAUUGGAGUGGCCGAUGUCAGAUUAGCUAGUUGGUGGGGUAAAGGCCUACCAAGGCAACGAUCUGUAGCUGGUCUGAGAGGAUGAUCAGCCACACUGGGACUGAGACACGGCACAGACUCCUACGGGAGGCAGCAGUGGGGAAUUUUGGACAAUGGGGGCAACCCUGAUCCAGCCAUUCCGCGUGAGUGAAGAAGGCCUUCGGGUUGUAAAGCUCUUUCGGCAGGAACGAAACGGUGAGCUCUAACAUAGCUCGCUAAUGACGGUACCUGAAGAAGAAGCACCGGCUAACUACGUG
This 484-nucleotide ribosomal RNA is filed under the name uncultured bacterium. Its description in RNAcentral is "partial 16S ribosomal RNA". It matches the Rfam family "Bacterial small subunit ribosomal RNA", at positions 30 to 507 of the family's 1533-position model. The record is from RNAcentral.